This 102-nucleotide transfer RNA is filed under the name Schizophyllum commune. RNAcentral describes it as "tRNA-Pro". It matches the Rfam family "tRNA". Rfam says of the family: Transfer RNA (tRNA) molecules are approximately 80 nucleotides in length. Their secondary structure includes four short double-helical elements and three loops (D, anti-codon, and T loops). RNAcentral also lists the same sequence under 1 other name. Lineage: Eukaryota; Fungi; Basidiomycota; Agaricomycetes; Agaricales; Schizophyllaceae. The record is from RNAcentral.
GGCCCAGUGGUCUAGUAGUAUGAUACGUGCUUCGGGCUUUCUUGCCAGCUCAUGGAAUGAGUCGUAUGCACGGGGUCCCGGGUUCAAUUCCCGGCUGGGCCC